GCCCGCGUGCAGCAACGAAGACCCAACACAGCCAUAAAUAAAUAAAUAAAUAAAUAAAUAAAUAAAUAAAUAAAUACAAGUGGAAGGAUCCCAUUGGUUAUCAAGGAAAGGCAAUUGGUCAAAGGUUUAAAUGUUACCUAAUCAUGAAUCUCUGGUUUUUAGGUAAGAUAAGGUUUGCUUCAUGGCUUCCCUAAUUAUGUAACUUGGGAAGAAAGAAAUACUUCUAUUUGAAUUACGCAGCUAAACGUGGUUUUCCCCCUUUUCUCCACCUUGUUUAGAGACGUAUAAAAUUUGGGGAUGCUUAAAGUUUACAGAAGGAAUGAAUAGAUUUGAUUAGGUAUAAGUUCCUAAAAGGCAUCUGUAAGCCCAUUACUAUUUUGAGGAAACAGUUCUCUCUAUGUUGUUCUGUUUCAUUUUCAAAUUAGGAUCCCAAGUCCUUGAUUUAGAUUCCCAAGGAGGGUGAUACGUUUAAAUAAAAUUCAGUGGGUCCCAAGAUUGUAUUACGUGGCACCAUGUUAUUUUGGUUGUCUUGCCUGAAAGGUUUAUGUUUUUCUCAUCCUCUUUCUAUAGUUUUUCGUUGUCGUCGUUGUUCGGAAGAAAUGUAAUAUUCAUCACUCCCUAUGCUCCAUGUUUAUUUUCUACUGCCGUACCAGUUUUGUUUGUAGUAGCAAUUCUGGAUCACCGAGGACUUGAACAGUGGAAGGAAUGUAGUGUCACAAGAGAAGAGUGGUGGUCUGUAUGAUGUCUAGAGAAAAGACAGCCAAGGAACACAGAUGGCAAUACAUGGGUCAGUGUAUCUCUACUUUUAUUGAGAAAUCUGCUGAAAGAAGUUCUACCUACACGAGGCUGUAAACCAAGGAAAAUUAAGACACAGGAUCCGGGAAACAGGCAUCCAUCUCAGAUGAGACAAAGGGAAUCCCCAUCAUGGUGGUGGCAAGAACCUUCAAGUUAAAGACUGGGCAGCGGGUCAGCCUGGAGCAGGAGGACUCUGGGCUUCAGGAGGCCUGGCUGUACGAAGACAGUUUACCUAACGAGUGUGAGUGUUGUUGGUGGGGAUUGACACUGUGUCGAAUAAUUUUGGGAUAGGCCAGUGAGAGGAAGAGAAAACUAAGCAAA
This is a long non-coding RNA of Balaenoptera musculus (blue whale), 1116 nucleotides long. RefSeq lists it as uncharacterized. NCBI's taxonomy places the organism in Eukaryota, Metazoa, Chordata, Mammalia, Artiodactyla, Balaenopteridae. The record is from RefSeq and is a predicted model, not a curated record. The transcript is spliced from 3 exons.